GACGAACGCUGGCGGCGUGCUUAACACAUGCAAGUCGAACGGUGAAGCGCCUUCCUUUUUGGUGGGUGUGGAUGAGUGGCGAACGGGUGAGUAACACGUGAGUAACCUGCCCCCUUCUUCUGGAUAACCGCAUGAAAGUGUGGCUAAUACGGGAUAUUCUGGGUCUGUCGCAUGAUGGGUCUGGGAAAGAUAUUGUUUCGGUGGGGGAUGGGCUCGCGGCCUAUCAGCUUGUUGGUGGGGUGAUGGCCUACCAAGGCGGUGACGGGUAGCCGGCCUGAGAGGGUGGACGGUCCCACUGGGACUGAGACACGGCCCAGACUCCUACGGGAGGCAGCAGUGGGGAAUAUUGCACAAUGGGCGCAAGCCUGAUGCAGCGACGCCGCGUGAGGGAUGGAGGCCUUCGGGUUGUGAACCUCUUUCGCCAGUGAAGCAGGCCUGCCUCGUCUGUGGGUGGGUUGACGGUAGCUGGAUAAGAAGCGCCGGCUAACUACGUG
RNAcentral lists this ribosomal RNA (494 nucleotides) under uncultured bacterium. RNAcentral describes it as "partial 16S ribosomal RNA". It matches the Rfam family "Bacterial small subunit ribosomal RNA", at positions 28 to 507 of the family's 1533-position model. The record is from RNAcentral.